UCCCUCGCAGCCUCGAGGCAGGCCAGAAGCGGCCAACUGCACACAAGAAGCGCGAUAGCUGCAUGUUUCUUAUCAUCUGCCCUGUAUUGAAAAAUAGCGUGCAUGCCGGAUAUCCCUGGUUCCAGGGGGAAAACGGGGGAAAACGCAUCGGCUCGGUCAGCGUUUGCUCGCAAACCCGUCAUCUCGAAGUAAAAACCUAAGGAGCGUACUGAGUUCAGUCAUAAAGUUGCAAGUUCAAGACGACUUCUUCUCACCAGGCCAGUUUGGGUAGGGGAUGUGCGGACUUCUCGGAGCAGUGCGCGACCGACGCUGGCUAGUGGAUCUUUAAAUGGCUCAGGACCUUCCAAAGCAGGUACAAGAGCCCGUGGCACCUCAGCCAACUCAAGAGCAACACCGAAACGAGU
This 404-nucleotide long non-coding RNA is filed under the name Chlamydomonas reinhardtii. RNAcentral's name for it is "long non-coding RNA (CREI_LNC000061)". Lineage: Eukaryota; Viridiplantae; Chlorophyta; Chlorophyceae; Chlamydomonadales; Chlamydomonadaceae. The record is from RNAcentral.